Oxyura jamaicensis (ruddy duck) is the source of this 892-nucleotide long non-coding RNA. RefSeq lists it as uncharacterized. The record is from RefSeq and is a predicted model, not a curated record. The transcript is spliced from 4 exons. NCBI's taxonomy places the organism in Eukaryota, Metazoa, Chordata, Aves, Anseriformes, Anatidae.
AAUGCAACUUAACAGACAAUGCACAAAAUUUCAGUCUGGUUCUUAGGGAAGCUUUUUCAAAUCAGAUUUCCAAGCUUGGUUGGACCAGCAUUGUUUCUUGCAAUACUUUUUGAAAUAAUUGUUAAAUGUAUUAAGAAUUAAUGAGAUGCAUCAGUACACACCAAAAGCCUCUGAUCAGUGUGUAUAUGUCCCACUGAAGGCUUCAAAAGCAGUCAGUUGUGUCUUUAUAUGUACCAUACACAGAAUAGAGGAGGCCAGCUAAUAUUUUACAGAUGUUUGUUCUCUGUUUUCAUGUUCUAGAUAACAGUUAACAUGUGUCCAACCAUUUCUCCUGUUAAGCAGUCUUUGUAAACUAAUAGUUGUGAUGCCAGGUUCUCAGAGUCUUCAACAUCACUCAGAUUAUUAACACUUGUGGAGGCUCUUCAGCUGAUACUUGUCUCAGCUCUACUUGUUGGCAAUCAAUGUAAUACUCGUUCCCCACUCUAGGCUAAAGAGGCUGUGUGAGUGCAUAUUUCAUGACUCCUGAGCUUUAGAGAAGUUCCUGGGAACUACAGACCAGGGAGCAUGCCUUCUUUAUAGUGGUUUGCAACUGAUAUGCUUUGCACCUGAAAGAACAGACUAAAAGGAAUUCUGAGGAAAACUGCUGCAUUAUUAUUUCUGAAAAAUGCAUAAGGGAAGGUAAAUGCUGCAAAUACAGUGUUGUAAUGAAUAUUUUGAGCAAAUCUUUUCUGUGACCUGAACUCUCCUGGGGUCACCUCCUUCAAAGUCAAGAACAGUCCAUCACCAUGUGCAGGAAGCCAAGCAAAAGUGGCAGGAGGCCUGCAUGGAUCAGCAAGAAGCUCCUAAGAAAACUCAGACAUAAAAAGGAAGCAUACAAGAGGUGGAAGCAAGA